UAUUGAAACAUUACUAUCGUACUGUACAUUAUUUAUUUCAAUUACCCAAAGCGUUUAGUUUGUAGUCACGUCAAAGAUUGGUUGUGCUCAAGAUAGGUCUAUGAUAGCUAAAGUACGAAAAGUAGUUCAUGCAGGAUAAAUUGUCUACAUUUCGUUCAGUUCUGUAGUUACGUCAGUGAGUUGAGGAGCUUGCUGAUCGGUAGUGCUCAAGACGCUCAAGACAGGUCCAUUCUCCAGUGUGCAUUACAAGCAGAAACUCCAGACUUACAACUUCACUAUAGGAAAACCAUCUGAGAAGCUCUCAGAGAGCCCUUGGAUGGUCAGCUUGGAGGGACACAUGCUACUUGCAGCAUCUCACACUGUGCACACUCAAGACUCAUGAUUGUACAUGGACAAGCCGGUAGGUCAACAAUACACAUCCAGGUCACAGAAAAUGCCGGAAAUGGCCCCUUUUGUUAUGCAGGCAUUCAUUCCUUGCACCUCCAUAAAAUGUUCACAUUCACUUACUCAAGUUUAUUUUUGGAACCAGUGAAAACUAAACCCAGUCUCUGCAAGCCAUCUAAGAGAUUUCUAAGAAUAAUUCUGAUUUCAUCCAAUUUCUCUUCAGUGGGUACUCAGCAUUUUGAAUCAGUUAAUUUAUUUUAUAAUAAUGAUGUCUGUCUAAAUUUAUUUGGUUGUAUUAAUAAUUAUAAUCAUUUAUUUGGAAUUAUAACAUGCUGACAUUUGUUGGAAUCGUUUCACUACUUUUCACAUAGGUAUUAACUAUGAACACUUUUUUCAGUGUGCAACUCAGUGUGGCAUUUUGACAGCACAAGUAGUGUAACUGCAUACAUUCAGUGGGCACAUAACACAUAACCUACUGCCUUCUUGACCAUGCCAUAAGUCUGAAUGCACCCAUUGCAAGAUAGUGUGAGUAGUGCAUAUCUUUUCUUGUUGGAGGGGUUUUCAAGAGGCUCUCAGGCAAUCUGUGUUCUUUAAACAAGGGAAAUGCUGGUUUCACAGCAAGUAAGUUCAUGUACUGUAUUGGGAGGGGGGCUAAGUGACAGCUACAGUCACAUUGCAGUGAUUUCUGAUGGGUAUGGUAUUCCCAAAACAAAAAUAUGGUACUACCCAGAAUAUAAAAAUUCUUACAUUUGAACAGUUAUAUGUGAAGCCAAUUCAGUGUAUACCUCAUUGGAGCACUAUUUUAA
Long non-coding RNA from Cryptotermes secundus, 1190 nucleotides. RefSeq lists it as uncharacterized. The transcript has 2 exons. The record is from RefSeq and is a predicted model, not a curated record. Lineage: Eukaryota; Metazoa; Arthropoda; Insecta; Blattodea; Kalotermitidae.